CAUAAUAAUAAUAAUAAUAAUAAUAAUAAUAAUGUAAUAAAUUCAAUAAUAUUUAGCCAAUAAAAUAUAUUAUUUUAGUUCAACUUACAUAAAUAACAUAAAAUAUUAGAUAGGUGUAUAAUAUACUUUAUAUAAACUGUUUUGAACGCGCAGCGUUAUAAUUAUUACUAAAACUAUAUAAAAUACAAUAUUAAAUUUCGCACAUGAAAUAAAUUAGGGGGGGGGGGGUAUAGCCGUUUUUCGUAUUAAUUAUACCCUUCAAAUAUACUCGUAUAUAAAUAUAAUACAAUAUAGUUUCGACAUUGUAUGUACAGUGUUAGGCGCGUACCUUUACCCGUUUUUGGCCCACUAGAUGUACAAUAAAUUUUAUUAUAUCCAUUGGAAACCGGUCGUAUGAUAAAAUAUCAAUACAUUCAAGGGCGUCCGUCUUAGAAAACCCAGGGAAGAGAUAAAACUAUACAAACAUAAUACGCACAUCAAGUGGAUUAAAUAAUUAAAAUUACAUUUUUUGAAAUCGAUUACGGAUGAAAAACCUGCAGGAGGGAAACGCGUUCACCCGUUUGCUUCCCCUAAUGGACGCCCGUGUUAACACAAGUUUACAAGUUUUUUUUUUCGAGAUGUACACAUUGACUGAAAAUUAGUUUUUUUUUUCAUCUUAUGAUAUCAAUGUCAAAUAUGUAUGUGUAUAGUCACGGUUUUGCAGAGUAUUUUAUUUAGGGAGGUUUGAUUCGGUGAUUCUUUUUUUUUUUUACCGUUAUUUUAUGAGUUUUAAAUAGAUUAUUUUUGACUAUUAAAACAGGAAUAUUCAUUUUUAAUUAAAAGUUACAUUUAGACAGUUUUGCAACGCGUCUCGCCCCAUCUCUUAAAAUCGGUUACUGUACAUAGUACGUGACUUUUGUAUUGGUGGAAGUUUUUGUCCAGUAAAAGUCAGUUUAAACGGUAUUUUUUUUUUCAUAAUAUAUAAUGAUAAUAUAUAGGUACAUAUAACAAUAAUAAUGAGUUAGAGGAAGAGCAAUAUUAUAAUGUUUUAUAUCUUGGACCACGUAAUAUAUAAUAUUUAUAAAUUUAAAUAUUAGAAAAAAAAAAACUAUUCAAACAUAUAAUAUUCACAAUUAUGUAUUUUAUUUUAUAUGUACAAGGUGUUUCAUAAUAGCUGUGCCAUACUUUAGUUGACGGGGUGUUCCAAUAACGAUAUUUUUGAUAUUUUUUUUCAGGUACCUCCGAAACCCUUAUUUUUUACAUUCAUUCAAAGAAUAUUUGAGUGAGUUUAAAAAUAAAUGUUCCGUUAGAUUUUCUGUAAAUUCCUCAUACGAAUUGAUAUCUCGCAUCAUUAUUGCACAAUUAUUGGCGCUCAAUGUCGGCAAAACUGACAAAUCUAUUCGUAUGAGAAUUUUGAAAGGAAUACCGUGGUUCAAUUUUUGUUUUCGAAACAGAAUACAUCUGAUUAUUAAAUAAGUAGAAUUAUCAACAAAAAAAACUAUGGAAAUUGAUUUUUUCAAAUAUUGUUCAAUAUGACCAUCAUUCUUUUUUAUGCGUUUUUUCAUGCAGCGAUACAAUGAAAUACAACUUUUUUAAAAUAAUUUUGGAAUUGGCGAUAAUUUAUUUUUGUAGCAUAAGCUAUUUUUUUUUCAUAAAUCCUCAUACAAAUUAUCGUAUCAAUAGUGUUAAGUAUCAAAACCUUUUCUUUGAAUUAUUAUAGUUAUAACAUUUUAGUUGAGUAUUUGAAUGUUGUCUGAUCAUUCUAAGAGUGUUGUUAAUUUUAAUCUACCUAUUUUAUAUUUUCAAACAUUAUUGUGUUGUCUUUUGCGUAGUAUACCAAGUACCUAGUCAUCAAUAUAACAAUUUAAAAUCGCUUAGAAGUUUAUUUAUGGGAGAAUAACAUUGUGAACUUUCACAAGACUAACAUUUUAAACGUUUAAAGCUAUGAGCUAUUUCAAAACAGACAUUUUGUAAAAUACAAUAAUAUGCAUGGUUGUACGCAAUAUGUAAUAUAGUGUACACACAAGUAUGGAUUGAAUUAAGUGUAUUGUUAUUAUAGUUUCGUUUUGAAUAAAGAAAAUGUAUAAGUAAAAUAGAAAUUUAAUAUUAUUUAUGGGUG
Molecule: non-coding RNA, 2098 nt
Organism: Cinara cedri
Lineage: Eukaryota; Metazoa; Arthropoda; Insecta; Hemiptera; Aphididae
Source: the annotation of a GenBank genome assembly